RNAcentral lists this long non-coding RNA (2531 nucleotides) under Struthio camelus australis. RNAcentral describes it as "lncRNA (ENSSCUG00000010444.1)". Lineage: Eukaryota; Metazoa; Chordata; Aves; Struthioniformes; Struthionidae. The record is from RNAcentral.
UCAGGCUGCUGCGUGGUUGGGGGUUUGUGUAUUUGCUUGUCCUGUCCUGGCCCACACACAUGGUGGGGAGUGAGCAGGAGCCCUCCCCCCUGCCUAUGGCAUGUGAGCCUUCAUGGGGAGGGGUCAUCCUGGGCCCACAGCCCCCAAGCAUACAUGUGUGCCCAUGUGGUCCUCUCUCUUGGAUUGGGAGGUUCCCCGAACUUGGUAACCCUUCCAGCUGGGCUCAGCUUCCUCUGUUCAACUGUGGAGGGCUUGUGAAGGCUCCCUGGCAAGGAAACAACGAUGAUAAUCUGGGGAAUCUCUGUCAAGAAUGAUCCUGUGGAUAAUCUCACGUCAAUGACAUCCUGGCAGGAGGCCUUCCUCCUCCCCCUCGGCACCACCUUGGUUUUGUUCAUUUAACAAGACCUUACAGGUCUCCAGAAAUAUCUUUUUUUUUUUUCUCUGAAUAGAAUUUAUAGUGGAAUAUAUAGUAGUAGAAAAACAUUAUUGAAUUCAACUCCAUAUAAAUCUGAAUGAGCACUCCCAGAUGAGCCUGAAUUUCAGAGAAACCUAGAGAUGAUAGCAAAGUCUUCCUGGGAUCUCUCUGAAGCUGAGUCCCGUUUGCUUUUUCCAUUGUAUACUUUGCUAGUAAUUUCUCCAGUCUAUUUUUAUGUAUCUGAAGCAUGGAUGAGAUUAUUCCACAGAGUAAUAUCAGCAAAUUCCUCUUGACAGUCAUGCUGUUUUAUUAAUUUCCUUUCUUUAUCCCUUCUUAUCCUUCCUUUUAGCACCUCAGUGAAUUUGUCUGUCCUCCAUGGUACUUGCACACAGACUUUCAAUAUCUGCAAAUAAUUGCAAUGUCUCCACACCUUCCCUAGAUGACUGCGCUAAGAUGAAGCUAAGCAGCCCCAACUCCAACAGAACUCUACUGCACAUCAACAUCGCAACGCUGUGGCUCCACCAAAGUCACCCCUAAGUGACUAUAUGACGAAGGACUUUACUGGUUAAUAUGUACAGGUCCCUCCACUUUUUAAUUGCUUUUAUUCAAGUUCAGGUUGAUCCUUCCCAGGAAAAAGGUUGAUCAGGUCCACUGAGCUUCUUUGUGGCCAACAUGCUGUCUGCUCCCACAGCUUCAGACUGCUUGCAAAGACACCACUGUGCCUUUAGGGAUCUGUUGGGGUGACAGGGUGAGGUUGUGUUGUGCCUCCAGAUGAUAGAGUACAUGACUCCUGUCCCUGGGAAGGGUCAUGGGAGAGCUGCUGUAAACCACCUGUGUGCCUUCUCAGUCUCAGCUUACUCCAGGAACUGGAGAGAACCCUGCUGUAGCCAAGGCCACUGUUAAGGCAGCCUCACUGAACAUGUUUUGUGAACUAACAUGUAGCUCAGAAACUUCUUAGCACUCCUUAGGAAAUAGCACUGCCUAGCGCUUAUUUCUAACACCACCAAACUCAUACGGGAGGUCUUUGUUGCAAAAGCAAGGAACUUUGGGGGUUAGCCUGGCUAUAUAAGCAAGAACACAGUGGAGUUAUAUGGCCAACAGCACUCUCUAGGCUAGAAAAUGGCUGGAUUAUUGUAAUAAGCUGAGGUAGCUGUAGUAUGGCCCAUAUGGCAUAGAAUGAGGAAAGCUGUCAGAAUUUGAGCAUGUUGGAUUGGCUGCACUGGCUUUUUUCUCAGCAAGCGAGGGCAGGGGAUCAGCAGGAUGAAGGCUGAGAAAGGUGCCCAAGAUUUCCUCAGCCAACUCAUUUAAUCUGUGAACAGGAUAGAGAGAGACAUUGCUUGGUGGACUGGUGGGUAAUGUCCCAUGUCCCAUGUCCCACGUAAGGGUCCUCACGUUUUUGGGGUGAUUUUGAAGAAUGGACUAAUCAGGAGACUUAUUCCUAAUAACAAGCAUGUUCAUGAACGGUUUCAGCUGAUGAUACUGAUGGGGGGUCAGUUUAUGCCUUUCCAUUUUUUCUCCUUUUAACUGAUAUAAUCACGGUCUGGUAUGUGAACAUGGUUACACAUUUAUGUACUGAUUGAUCAUCUCUGUGCACACAGAUUGUAUGCCUAAUGGCUCUUUCUUAUCACCUCUGAGGCCAGUCAAUUGCCUGCGCCUAUGAGCUAACAUCAGAAAGAAAUAGUGUUAUGUUCUCAUUACACGUUUGUAGGGGAGAAACCAGUCGCAUUACACAGACCUAUGGGAUCAGACUCCCUGGAACAUAAGAUGUGUGUGGGUGAACUUGGCCAAAGAGGCAGACAAGAAGACAAUUUACUAGCCCACCCCUGAAGAACACGAUGGGACUCCAGAGGAUGGAAUCGGGGGGCCCGCACAAAUACUUAGAGAAGUUAUUAACUUGUUUUGUAUUUCAGUGCUAGAAUUUUAAGCCUCAUAUUAAUUAUCCUUCAGCAAAGAGUGUUUUACUGUGGAAAAACAAUUACAUGCAUAGUGGGAGCUUUCCCAACUCUGAACUGAAGCAGCAAGAGUGUUGAAAUUUUAAUGAGGACCUUCUUUUCAUGCAGAGUUUCUCAGGUGCUCAGUUAAACCACUGUUAAUAAAAAACAAACAAAAUCGAACA